Long non-coding RNA from Anolis carolinensis (green anole), 1553 nucleotides. RefSeq lists it as uncharacterized. The transcript has 3 exons. Lineage: Eukaryota; Metazoa; Chordata; Lepidosauria; Squamata; Anolidae. The record is from RefSeq and is a predicted model, not a curated record.
UGUUGUGAAUGGGUAUAGAGUACGUUAUCGGGAUAUUAGAGUUGUAUAAGAGAUGUAGGUGUUGUGAAUGGGUGUAGAGUACGUUAUCAUUGGUAUAUUAGAGUUGUAUAAGAGAUGUUGUAGGUGUUGUGAUUGGGUAUAGAGUACGUUAUCAUCGGUAUAUUAGAGUUGUAUAAGAGAUGUUGUAGGUGUUGUGAAUGGGUGUAGAGUACGUUAUCAUCGGUAUAUUAGAGUUGUAUAAGAGAUGUUGUAGGUGUUGUGAAUGGGUAUAGAGUACGUUAUCGGGAUAUUAGAGUUGUAUAAGAGAUGUUGUAGGUGUUCUGAAUGGGUAUAGAGUACGUUAUCAUCGGUAUAUUAGAGUUGUAUAAGAGAUGUUGUAGGUGUUGUGAAUGGGUAUAGAGUCCGUUAUCAUCGGUAUAUUAGAGUUGUAUAAGAGAUGUUAUAGGUGUUGUGAAUGGGUAUAGAGUACGUUAUCGGGAUAUUAGAGUUGUAUAAGAGAUGUAGGUGUUGUGAAUGGGUAUAGAGUACGUUAUCAUCGGUAUAUUAGAGUUGUAUAAGAGAUGUUGGUGUUUUGAAUGGGGAUAGAGUACGUUAUCAUCAGUAUUUUAGAAUUGUAUAAGAGAUGUUGUAGGUGUUGUGAAUGGGUAUAGAGUACGUUAUCGGGAUAUUAGAGUUGUAUAAGAGAUGUAGGUGUUGUGAAUGGGUAUAGAGUACGUUAUCAUCGGUAUAUUAGAGUUGUAUAAGAGAUGUUGGUGUUUUGAAUGGGGAUAGAGUACGUUAUCAUCGGUAUAUUAGAGUUGUAUAAGAGAUGUUGUCGGUGUUGUGAAUGGGUAUAGAGUACGUUAUCAUCGGUAUAUUAGAGUUGUAUAAGAGAUGUUGUAGGUGUUGUGAAUGGGUAUAGAGUACGUUAUCAUCGGUAUAUUAGAGUUGUAUAAGAGAUGUUGGUGUUUUGAAUGGGGAUAGAGUACGUUAUCAUCGGUAUAUUAGAGUUGUAUAAGAGAUGUUGUAGGUGUUGUGAAUGGGUAUAUAGUACGUUAUCGGGAUAUUAGAGUUGUAUAAGAGAUGUAAGUGUUGUGAAUGGGUAUAGAGUACGUUAUCAUAGGAAUAUUGCAGUUGUGCAAGAGAUGUUGUAGGUUUUUUUGUGAAUGGGUAGAGUACGUUAUCAUCGGUAUAUUAGAGUUGUAUAAGAGAUGUUGUAGGUGUUGUGAAUGGGUAUAGAGUACGUUAUCAUCGGAAUAUUAGAGUUGUAUAAGAGAUGUUUUAGGUGUUUUGAAUGGGUGUAGAGUACGUUAUCAUCGGUAUAUUAGAGUUGUAUAAGAGAUGUUGUAGGUGUUGUGAAUGGGUAUAGAGUACGUUAUCAUCGGUAUAUUAGAGUUGUAUAAGAGAUGUUGGUGUUUUGAAUGGGGAUAGAGUACGUUAUCAUCGGUAUAUUAGAGUUGUAUAAGAGAUGUUGUAGGUGUUAUGAAUGGGUAUAGAGUACGUUAUCGGGAUAUUAGAGUUGUAUAAGAGAUGUAGGUGUUGUGAAUGGGUAUAGAGUACAUUAUCAUAGGUAU